CGUGGCUCGGUACUUAUACAUCUCGUCAAUGUGUUUGUAUUGGCUUUCAUUUUUUGGUGAUUUGUUUUGUAUAUGUGACUCUUUGUAUUUCUUUUGUGCUUAUAACGUGACUCUGUACUUUAAAAGAUCCCGUCAGUAUGACAUUUGUCUAUAAUAUGUCAUUAUGAUAUAUUUCUAUUAUGAAUUACUAUAUACGUUGAACCACAAACGUCAAAAUCAAUCAAUGGCGUAGUGGAUUAACAAUUUUU
This 248-nucleotide long non-coding RNA is filed under the name Mytilus galloprovincialis (Mediterranean mussel). The record is from RNAcentral. Lineage: Eukaryota; Metazoa; Mollusca; Bivalvia; Mytilida; Mytilidae.